GCCCCUGUAGCUCAAUGGCAGAGCAGCGGCCUUUUAAGCCGAGUGUUGAAGGUUCGAUUCCUUCCGGGGGUA
RNAcentral lists this transfer RNA (72 nucleotides) under Chloroflexota bacterium. RNAcentral describes it as "Chloroflexi bacterium (groundwater metagenome) tRNA-Lys". It matches the Rfam family "tRNA". From Rfam's summary of the family: Transfer RNA (tRNA) molecules are approximately 80 nucleotides in length. Their secondary structure includes four short double-helical elements and three loops (D, anti-codon, and T loops). The record is from RNAcentral. Lineage: Bacteria; Bacillati; Chloroflexota.